AGCGAACGCUGGCGGCAGGCUUAACACAUGCAAGUCGAGCGGGCGUAGCAAUACGUCAGCGGCAGACGGGUGAGUAACGCGUGGGAACGUACCUUUUGGUUCGGAACAACUCAGGGAAACUUGUGCUAAUACCGGAUAAGCCCUUACGGGGAAAGAUUUAUCGCCGAAAGAUCGGCCCGCGUCUGAUUAGCUAGUUGGUAGGGUAAUGGCCUACCAAGGCGACGAUCAGUAGCUGGUCUGAGAGGAUGAUCAGCCACAUUGGGACUGAGACACGGCCCAAACUCCUACGGGAGGCAGCAGUGGGGAAUAUUGGACAAUGGGGGCAACCCUGAUCCAGCCAUGCCGCGUGAGUGACGAAGGCCCUAGGGUUGUAAAGCUCUUUUGUGCGGGAAGAUAAUGACGGUACCGCAAGAAUAAGCCCCGGCUAACUUCGUGCCAGCCGCCGCAGUAA
This 451-nucleotide ribosomal RNA is filed under the name uncultured bacterium. RNAcentral describes it as "partial 16S ribosomal RNA". It matches the Rfam family "Bacterial small subunit ribosomal RNA", at positions 29 to 523 of the family's 1533-position model. The record is from RNAcentral.